UUCUAGUAUUUUUUAGUUGCAUGCCUAUUUCAUUCACCUGCCCUUUCUCACUUCUAUUGAUUUGUUCAGAGAUUAAAUUUCCCCCUAAAUACCUAAAAAUUUUGAUAUGUUCUCUCAUCAUGCUUCAAAGACCUUCUAUUGAAUGUUUUUUUUCUUAUAUUAUAAUAAGAUGCAUUUAGCACUUCUUUUCCAUAUUUCUUAGUGAGAUUUUUAUGUCCUAAUAACCAGCCAAUUUUUGUAAAGGUACCAUGUAUAGUGAAGAAAAAGGUAUAUUCUUUUCUAUUCCCAUUCAAUAUUUUCUGGAGGUCUGUUGCAUCUAAUCUAAAAUUCUAUUCAUCUCUUUAACUUCUUUGUUGUUUAUUUUAUGGUUAGAUUUAUCUAGGUCUGAGAGGAGUAAGUCAAGGUCCUCAACUAGCAUAGUUUUACUAUUUCCUCCUGUAACUUGAUUAACUUUUUCUUCAACAAUUUGGAUGCUUCUUGUUUUCUCGUUUUACAGCCUAUUUCCUGACUUUGGGUUCUGCUUAUUUCUGGGGAAGAGAGCGGAUAGGUGCCUAAGCCAACAUCCAGAUCCUGAGACCUUGCCUGAGCAAAUAGAGGAUCAUGAGUUUUCCCAACGUUUCAAGGAGUGAGGAAGUAAGGACCCAGAAUGAUAGAGAUAUUCAAAGGAAAGUAAGCAGGUUUUGAGUCACUUCCAAAUACUGAUGGCCCAGAGAUCUCUGAAGACAGCGGUUUUUCUGGUUUUCUUUGUCUGUACUUGUUUGGGGAUAUCUCUUGAAGCUCAAAAGAAAAGGAGUGUGUCUGAGUAUCAGUUCAUGCACGAUAAAGGGAAGACCAUUCAGUCCCUGAAAAGGCUAAUGUGGUUAUACAAUGCCAUGGGUGGGGUGCACUCCACUAGUGGCAGAGCCGCUUCCCAGUCUGACAGCCUAUGGAAACGGCAGAAGCGCCUGACCCACCCCAGUCGGAACAGAGAUAUAAGAGGGCUUUACACUCACAACCUGGUGAAGCAAAUUCUCAUUAGCCUGAUCACUGAUGCCCAUUUUCCUAGACUGUAAAAUCCACCGGAGCAGAAGCCAUUUCUUAUCCAAACAUGGUGCCUGGAAUAAUGUUGUGUAUACAGGAGUUGAUUAAUAAAUGCUGCUUGAAUGAAUACA
This 1151-nucleotide long non-coding RNA is filed under the name Monodelphis domestica (gray short-tailed opossum). RNAcentral describes it as "lncRNA (ENSMODG00000050757.1)". The record is from RNAcentral. Lineage: Eukaryota; Metazoa; Chordata; Mammalia; Didelphimorphia; Didelphidae.